AUGAACGCUGGCGGCGUGCCUAAUACAUGCAAGUCGAGCGAACUUUUGGGAGCUUGCUCCCAAAAGUUAGCGGCGGACGGGUGAGUAACACGUGGGUAACCUGCCUGUAAGACUGGGAUAACUUCGGGAAACCGGAGCUAAUACCGGAUAACAUUGAAGACCACAUGACCUUCAAUUAAAAGGUGGCUUUUAGCUACCACUUACAGAUGGACCCGCGGCGCAUUAGCUAGUUGGUGAGGUAACGGCUCACCAAGGCGACGAUGCGUAGCCGACCUGAGAGGGCGAUCGGCCACACUGGGACUGAGACACGGCCCAGAUUCCUACGGGAGGCAGCAGUAGGGAAUCUUCCGCAAUGGACGAAAGUCUGACGGAGCAACGCCGCGUGGGCGAAGCAGGCCUUCGGGUCGUAAAGCUCUGUUGUUAGGGAAGAACAAGUAUCGUUCGAAUAGGGCGGUACCUUGACGGUACCUAACCAGAAAGCCACGGCUAACUACGUG
This 497-nucleotide ribosomal RNA is filed under the name uncultured bacterium. RNAcentral describes it as "partial 16S ribosomal RNA". It matches the Rfam family "Bacterial small subunit ribosomal RNA", at positions 29 to 507 of the family's 1533-position model. The record is from RNAcentral.